UUAUUUUAGCAUGUAAGUGUGACUUGGUUUCCAAUUGCCAAAGUGUGACAAGUUGUCUCAUAAACCUAUCACACUUCCAUGAAGAAGACAGCAGAAUUACAAAAACCAUGGGAAUCCCAUUCCUUCUCCUGUUAUGAUUAUCAAGGGAGGAGCAACCAAAGUGGAGCAAAGGUCUUACAGGUGGAAGCCCUGUUCUCCUCCUCUUCAGGAAGAGCCCAGGAAGAAGCUACAGUGGGGUAACUCUGAGUAACUUGUUCAAGAUUUUUUAAAAUACUUGGAUUCAUCAGGACGAGAUUUUCCAGGGGGCUCUCUGACCCGAUCCUGUUCACUCUCAUUCUUUGGGACAAGGACAGCUUUGGCAGUGAGUCUAGAUGCCAAACCCACCAGCAGGCAAGGGGAUCUAUCUUGGGGUGCUUAGCAUUGUACAGCUCAAAGUGUGUGGCAACUCACUGUGUACGCAAGCUUGAAAACAAUCAGCAAUCUUCUUCAUUCAAUUAAACACUAACCAGCCUAGAUGCCAGAGAGAAGGGCAGGGUGGCAUCUUCUCUGAGAGCAUCUGCCAGUCCUUCCACACAGCAUGAGACUGGGUGUAAGAGACACUGCACUACUCUAACAAAAGAAUCCGGACGGUGGGAAAUCUGUGGAAUCUCUUCCUACACUGAAGAUGUUCUAAGAGAUGCUGGAAUUGAAGCCAAGAUCCAGCAAUGAAAAUGUAAACCUGGAGAGUGGCAACUUGAAGCCAUGGCUGAUACUUCUACCCAGAACCAAGCCGAUGUGCCUGCAAGAUUUGGGAAAUGAAACCCCUCAAAGAGGGGGGUUUGUUCAGACUGUACAUGAAAUAAGAGCAGAAAGAGGCAGCACAUGUCACUGGAUUCACAGCCCCUUGUCACUUGCCGAUGACAGGCCGCUGUCCUCUGGGAGCUUCCCCUGCCUGCUGGCUGGUGCUGGGCUCUGCUUGGCAGACUGGUGAGAUCCAUGUUUCUGGAGACUUAAGAUGCCAGGACCCAUCCUGCUCUGAAGCCUGGAUGGCCAGCUGAAGAUCUGACAGCCUCACCUGAAGGGAAAACAUCUCUAUGGCUGGGUCCCUCUCUCCUCUGGGUAUCAAAAAGUAGAUGGAGGAUCCACCGCAGGGAGUGUCUGAAACUCUUCUGGGACCACUUGGCGCCCCUCAAAUUAUGGGCCAAGCUAAAGAAAUGAAAACCAGAUGUGGCCCCAAAUGUGACAGUACUUGCUCGUAAUUAUAAUGAUCUUUAUGGACUCUUUAUUGAGCCUCAAAUUGAAGUUUAGUGAACAAUUGCCAAAAGAUGUGGGGUUUCCCACGGUAGAUGUCACAAGGAAGACAGCAUUCGAGCUGAGUCCC
Heterocephalus glaber (naked mole-rat) is the source of this 1360-nucleotide long non-coding RNA. NCBI's taxonomy places the organism in Eukaryota, Metazoa, Chordata, Mammalia, Rodentia, Bathyergidae. The record is from Ensembl.